CUUGGCACAUUGGAAUUGGCACCAAAUCCAAAGUGGCAAAUUCAAUGUGACAAAU
Molecule: microRNA precursor, 55 nt
Filed under: Gyrodactylus salaris (gyrodactylosis fluke)
Lineage: Eukaryota; Metazoa; Platyhelminthes; Monogenea; Gyrodactylidea; Gyrodactylidae
Description: microRNA gsa-mir-96b precursor
Gene: gsa-mir-96b
Source: miRBase by way of RNAcentral